RNAcentral lists this non-coding RNA (972 nucleotides) under Chlorocebus sabaeus (green monkey). Lineage: Eukaryota; Metazoa; Chordata; Mammalia; Primates; Cercopithecidae. The record is from Rfam by way of RNAcentral.
AAACAAAUAGGUUUGGUCCUGGCCUUUCUAUUAACUCUUAGUAAGAUUACACAUGUAAGCAUCCCCGCCCCAGUGGAAAUGCCCUCUAGAUCCCCCAGAUCAAAAGGAGCAGAUACCAAGCACACACAAAGGCAACUCAAAACAGUUUGCUCAAUCACACCCCCACGGGAAAGAGCAGUGAUAAAUCUUUAGUAAUAAACAAGAAGUUAACUAUGGUCUACUGAUGUCGAGGGUUGGUCAAUUUCGUGCCAGCCACCGGGGCCAUACUCAACCCAAGUUAACCUAAUAGAACUCGGCGUAAGGAGUGUUUAAGGUCCCUAAAUAAAGCUAAACUCUAAGUCAUCAGAAAAAAAAUGAACUCCAGAUGAAAGAAAAUAUACUAUGAAAGUGGCUUUAAUAGCCUAAAGACACAAUAGCUAAGACCCAAACUGGGAUUAGAUACCCCACUCUGCUUAGCCCUAAGCUCUAAUAGUUACAUUAACAAAACGAUUCCCCAGAAUACUACAAGAAAUAGCUUAAAACUCGAAGGACUUGGAGGUGCUUUAUAUCUCUCUAAAGGAACCUGUUUUAUAAUCAAUAAACCCCGAUAUACCUCACCACCUCUUGCCCCCAGCCUAUAUACCACCAUCUUCAGCAAACCCUAAAAAAGUUAUGGAGUAAGCACACAUAUUUUCAUAAAAAUGUUAUGUCAAGGUGUAGCUCAUGAGGUGACAAGAAAUGGGCUACAUUUUCUGUAUCCAGAAAAACUUACAACAACCUUUAGGAAAUUUAAAGGUUCAAGGAGGAUUUAGUAGGAAACCAAGAGCAGAGUGCUUAGUUGAAUAAGGCCAUGAAGCAUGGACAGACUGCUCACCAUCAUCCUCAAAUAUUGCUCUAGAAACUAUUAUCACUAAAAACUGUCUAUGCACAUAUAGAGGAGCUAAGUCAGAACAUGGUAAGGAUACUGGAAGCUGCACUUGGACAAAAGAAAGU